AGCGAACGCUGGCGGCAUGCCUAACACAUGCAAGUCGCACGGGGGGGCUUCGGCCUCCCAGUGGCGGACGGGUGAGGAACGCGUAGGGACCUGUCGAGGGGUGGGGGAUAACCGCGGGAAACUGCGGCUAAUACCGCAUGACGCCGCGGCGUGACAGCCGGGGCCAAAGGCGAAAGCCGCCCGCCGAGGGGCCUGCGUCCGAUUAGCUGGUUGGCGGGGUAGCGGCCCACCAAGGCGGCGAUCGGUAGCUGGUCUGAGAGGGUGAUCAGCCACACCGGGAGUGAGACACGGCCCGGACUCCUACGGGAGGGAGCAGGGGGGAAUAUUGGACAAGGGGCGCAAGUCUGAUCCAGCAAUGCCGCGGGGGUGAAGAAGGUCUUCGGAGUGUAAAGCCCUUUCGGCGGGGACGAUGGUGACGGUACCCGCAGAAGAAGCCCCGGCUAACUUCGUG
RNAcentral lists this ribosomal RNA (451 nucleotides) under uncultured bacterium. RNAcentral describes it as "partial 16S ribosomal RNA". It matches the Rfam family "Bacterial small subunit ribosomal RNA", at positions 30 to 507 of the family's 1533-position model. The record is from RNAcentral.